This is a non-coding RNA of Schistosoma curassoni, 45 nucleotides long. Lineage: Eukaryota; Metazoa; Platyhelminthes; Trematoda; Strigeidida; Schistosomatidae. The record is from Rfam.
AUCAAGUUGAUGAGUCCCAGAUAAGACGAAACACGCGUCCUGGAU